RNAcentral lists this long non-coding RNA (2752 nucleotides) under Sus scrofa (pig). Its description in RNAcentral is "lncRNA (ENSSSCG00045037464.1)". Lineage: Eukaryota; Metazoa; Chordata; Mammalia; Artiodactyla; Suidae. The record is from RNAcentral.
GUCCUUUUAGGGCCACACCUGCAGCAUAUGGAGGUUCCCAGGCUAGGGGUCUAAUUGGAGCUGUAGCUGCCGGCCUACACCACAGCCACAGCAACUCAGGAUCUGAGCUGCAUCUUCGACCUACCCACAGCUCAUGGGUAAUGCCAGAUCCUUAACCCACUGAGCGAGGCCAGGGAUCAAACCCGCAACCUCAUGGUUCCUAAAAGGAUUCGUUUCCGCUGCGCCAGGACGGAAACUCCUCAAAGGGAAAUCUUUUAAAUUUCAUCAUUUGUAUCAUUUGAACAUAUGAGAUAAAGUUUGUUGUAGAUUAUGUGUUAACAUGUUUUAUCAAAUUACAUCUGGAAAAUCUAAAAUCCUUAAAAAGGCCUGGGCGUUGUUUUGAACUCAGAUCUGGGGGAAAAAAAACCACGAGAAGUGAGUUGAGUUUGGUCCCAUCAGUCUGUGCCAACUUCUUCCAGAAGAAGCUGCAUUCAUUCAUUCAAAGCCUGGCACUGGAGUAGGCUUUGGUCUGGAGGAAUACAUCCAGAAAUCUGGAGCUGGUUGGUUUUGUGAACAUAUCCAAUAACGAAACGUGGCCUUAUCUCCCUCCUUCUCCUGGCAUUUAUAUAACCUGAUUUCUUUAGUUAGGUCAUUUUAAAAUAUACUGAAUGCCUACUACAGCAUCAGCCGUAUAAAGCUGAACACCAAGUCUUGAGAAAACCUCCUCCUGGAGUUCCCAUCAUGGCUUAGCAGUAACAAACCCAUGAGGUAACUAGGAUCCAUGAAGAUACAGGUUCAAUCCCUGGCUCUCACUGAGUGGGUGAGGGAUCAGGCGUUGCCAUGAGCUGUGACGUAGGUCGAAGACACAGCUUGCAUCCUGCGUUGCUGUGCCUGUGGUGUGGGCCGGCAGCUGCAGUUCUGAUUUGACCCCUAGCCUGGGAACUUCCAUAUGGAUCAGGUGUGGCCUGAAAAGAAAAAGAAAAAAAAAAAAAUAGAAGAGGAAGAAAAAAACUUCCUCCUGCUUCCCUCUAGUGACUGUCCUUUCCUCUUAUGGACAGUUAUUCUGCAGGAUAGUUGACAGCCAUGUUCUUCGAUCCUCAUUUUUUUUUUUUUCUUGUCUUUUUUGUCUUUUUAGGGCUGCACGCACUGCAUAUGGAGGUUUCCAGGCUAGGGGUCCAAUUGGAGCUGUAGCCACUGGCCUACACCACAGCCACAGCCAACGCUGGAUCCUUAACCCCCGGACGGAGGCCAGGGAUCGAACCCUCGUCCUCAUGGAUGCUAGUCGGGUUCAUUAACCGCUGUUUCACGAUGGGAACUCCCUUUCCAUCCUCAUUCUUCAGGGAACACAGGAGACAACAGAGACCGACACGGGCGGAAUAGAUGACCACAGAAGCAAUCCUGGCUUCUGCUCGUCUUAAGGAUAAUUCACUCGUGGGCUCUCAGGUCCUGGGCCUCUGUGUUGGGCUAGUAGUGCAGCAGAACUGAGAAAGUCCAGAAAACUAGACUGGCUUACAUCUGAAAUUUGCUGCCAGGGAGAAAUGAACAGACGUAAAAGGUGAAGUGAGCCUCAGAGAAAGACCAGAGCCAGUGGGGUGAGUCUGAAGGAGGCCAGCGUUUGAAAGAGUUUGGAGAGAGAAGACCAAGCUAUUUUAAGUGGCACCUGCUGCUGUGUCAAAAAAUGACAGAGACUUGGGGAAAGAAAGUUGGAAGCAGAGUCUCUCUUAGGAAUCCCCGCCCCUUUGAUUUAAGCUGCUUUUGAUUCUCCUUUGAUGUUGGUCUUGUGUCUCUUCUGAGAUGACACAACACCAGCUAGACUACAGGCAUGGAUAUGUGCAAAUUAUCCAGAUUUAGGCUCCGCAAGUCAAAUCUCGGCCCUGUCUUGUAAUACUCAUGUGACUGUGGCCUUCUCUUCCAGAACCAAAACACCUGCCUUAACGUUUUUGUAAAAAUUAAACAGGACAACAGAUGCAGGUUUUUGCUCAAGCCUUGCAGAAUCACAAUUGCUUCUCCCCUCCGCCCUUUUUUUUUGGUUCCUCCAUAGAAAUUUGAAAUUUGACUAGAGUCAGAAAAAUGGGGGCCCCCAACCACAGGAUGACGGGGGAAAACAGUCUGGCCGAAGGGAGAGACAACCAGUGGUGACACGCGCAGCCCAGCCUCUAUUCCCACAGGCAGAAGUACACGGGGAUAGACAAGGGCACCUUUAUGCCUUCAGAAAUAUUGAAGUUAAUUAAGUUGCUACGGUGCUAAAAUAUUUUUGUAAAAGAAAGGAGUAUUUAUUGAUAUAUUACUUAUCCUUUUUUUUUUUUUCAGGUGAGCAUGUGUUCCUGGGCCAGGGAGUCAACGCGAGCCACAGCAGCAACCCAAGCCACUGCAGGGACAUGCCGGAUCCUUACCUCACUGUGCUGCAAGGAACCUAUUUAUUGUGCUCACGGAGUCACAGACGGCUAGCCUGCCCCUCGGAGUUUCUACCGUGAUGGACAAACUAGCAAUCCCAGAUGUCCACCAAUAAACCCGUGAAGGCAGCCCAGCUGGAUGCAGGGAGCACAAGUCUGCGGUCAAGGCUACCCCUCACUGCUCCUGAGCCUCAGGCCACCAGUUAUCAGCACCUUGCCCUCCAUGCAGCUGCCCUAGAGCACGUGCAUGGCUGUCAUGGCUAGAUGUGUAAACAUCCGAGCCCUCGGUGGAUGAACUGAGACUGUCUCCUGCAUCCUAGCACAUCUAUCCCCUUCUGCUAGUGCAGUGCCUGGCUCAGGGUGGAGUCAGCGUUUGCUGA